CUAGACUCUCUGUUCUGUUCAGGCUGUUGAACAGGGAGGACGUGCUUGUACUCAUACCAUUUAUAUAGUGGAUUUUUUGAGUGGACUACGGUCCCGUGGUUUUUCCUUCUCACAUCGAGGAGGUUUUCCACGUAAAAAUUGUGUGUUUCAUUUACGUUUUUCUGCAUAUUACAUCCCGCCAUCGUCGAAAUAUUUUCUUCACAGGUUCAGACAAAGUCAGGGGAACACGACCAUUAGUAUUUCCGCUGCGCCGUGUGACUUUCCCCAACAUUCUAAGCAUCUGAUUCAGUGUGAAAGUUGAAACAUUAAUAAAACACGUAAUAAGAAGGUGUCGUCAAUUUGUUCGAGAAAACUUGUUUACGUGUUGUAGUCAGAUUGGCAGCUGGAAAAACACUUCCUAUAAUAUCUUUACAAUAAGUUCAGCUUACAUGUCUUCGAGUUAUUUAUUAUUUCCGUCGUCAUAUAUAUUACACACAUUUUCUUUUUACUACAGUGAUUAUCGAUUAUAUGCUUUUUUUUUUUUUUUUUUUUUUUUUUUUGAUCAAAUCGAUUAUAUUCUUUAAUCUUUGAAUCGUGACUACGAAGUUUCUUCAAAAUCAUGAUAUUCGCUCGGAUGAUAUACAAUAUACUAAGCAAAAGUGCAUUUUCUGAUAAAAGAACAAGACUAAUUUUUAUGCAUAUUUUAUUCUAUAAAAUGGUUUCACAUCAAAUUAUUAACAACCUAUAACUUUCUAAAAUGAUGAGUACUAGUGCUUAAUCUUACUUUACAGUAUACAUGUCCUUUUACAAUCUCAAUACGUUAUCAGAUAGUUUUUUCUUUGAUAACUUACAGUUUUUCUUAGAAUAAUA
Molecule: long non-coding RNA, 849 nt
Filed under: Brassica napus (rape)
Lineage: Eukaryota; Viridiplantae; Streptophyta; Magnoliopsida; Brassicales; Brassicaceae
Description: long non-coding RNA (BNAP_LNC015331)
Source: RNAcentral